GAGGCGACGAUGCGUAGGGGUUCUGAGAGGAAGGUCCCCCACACUGGUACUGAGACACGGACCAGACUCCUACGGGAGGCAGCAGUGAGGAAUAUUGGUCAAUGGGCGGGAGCCUGAACCAGCCAAGUCGCGUGAGGGAAGACGGUCCUACGGAUUGUAAACCUCUUUUGCCGGGGAGCAACGGGGUCCUUGCGAGGGCCCGAUGAGAGUACCCGGAGAAAAAGCAUCGGCUAACUCCGUGCCAGCAGCCGCGGUAAUACGGAGGAUGCGAGCGUUAUCCGGAUUUAUUGGGUUUAAAGGGUGCGUAGGCGGGCUGUUAAGUCAGCGGUCAAAUGUCGGGGCUCAACCCCGGCCUGCCGUUGAAACUGGCGGCCUCGAGUGGGCGAGAAGUAUGCGGAAUGCGUGGUGUAGCGGUGAAAUGCAUAGAUAUCACGCAGAGCUCCGAUUGCGAAGGCAGCAUACCGGCGCCCUACUGACGCUGAGGCACGAAAGCGUGGGUAUCGAACAGGAUUAGAUACCCUGGUAGUCCACGCAGUAAACGAUGAAUGCUAGCUGUCCGGUUCUACGGGACUGG
This 574-nucleotide ribosomal RNA is filed under the name uncultured bacterium. RNAcentral's name for it is "bacterial SSU rRNA". It matches the Rfam family "Bacterial small subunit ribosomal RNA", at positions 270 to 842 of the family's 1533-position model. The record is from RNAcentral.